UGGGGAAUUUUGGACAAUGGGCGAAAGCCUGAUCCAGCAAUGCCGCGUGUGUGAAGAAGGCCUUCGGGUUGUAAAGCACUUUUGUCCGGAAAGAAAUCCUUGGCUCUAAUACAGUCGGGGGAUGACGGUACCGGAAGAAUAAGCACCGGCUAACUACGUGCCAGCAGCCGCGGUAAUACGUAGGGUGCAAGCGUUAAUCGGAAUUACUGGGCGUAAAGCGUGCGCAGGCGGUUUGCUAAGACCGAUGUGAAAUCCCCGGGCUCAACCUGGGAACUGCAUUGGUGACUGGCAGGCUAGAGUAUGGCAGAGGGGGGUAGAAUUCCACGUGUAGCAGUGAAAUGCGUAGAGAUGUGGAGGAAUACGAUGGCGAAGGCAGCCCCCUGGGCCAAUACUGACGCUCAUGCACGAAAGCGUGGGGAGCAAAACAGGAUUAGAUACCCUGGUAGUCCACGCCCUAAACGAUGUCAACUAGUUGUUGGGGAUUCAUUUCCUUAGUAACGUAGCUAACGCGUGAAGUUGACCGCCUGGGGAGUACGGUCG
RNAcentral lists this ribosomal RNA (540 nucleotides) under uncultured bacterium. RNAcentral's name for it is "partial 16S ribosomal RNA". It matches the Rfam family "Bacterial small subunit ribosomal RNA", at positions 355 to 888 of the family's 1533-position model. The record is from RNAcentral.